CCUACGGGAGGCAGCAGUGGGGAAUAUUGCGCAAUGGGCGAAAGCCUGACGCAGCGACGCCGCGUGAGGGAUGAAGGUCUUCGGAUCGUAAACCUCUGUCAGCAGGGAAGAACGGUAACUGUGCUAAUCAGCAGUGACUUGACGGUAACUGCAAAGGAAGCACAGGCUAACUCAGUGCCAGCAGCCGCGGUAAUACGGAGGGUGCGAGCGUUAAUCGGAAUUACUGGGCGUAAAGGGCUCGUAGGCGGCAUGUCAAGUCAUGGGUGAAAUCCCAGGGCUCAACGUCGGAACUGCCUUUGAAACUGUGAAACUGGAGUGUAGGAGAGGAUAGCGGAAUUCCUGGUGUAGGGGUGAAAUCCGUAGAUAUUAGGAGGAACAUCAGUGGCGAAGGCGACUUUCUGGCAUAUAACUGACGUUGAGGAGCGAAAGCGUGGGUAGCAAACAGGAUUAGAUACCCUGGUAGUC
RNAcentral lists this ribosomal RNA (465 nucleotides) under uncultured bacterium. RNAcentral describes it as "partial 16S ribosomal RNA". It matches the Rfam family "Bacterial small subunit ribosomal RNA", at positions 338 to 795 of the family's 1533-position model. The record is from RNAcentral.